CUACGGGUUGCUCCAGUGGGGAAUAUUGGGCAAUGGGGGAAACCCUGACCCAGCAACGCCGCGUGAAGGAAGAAGGCUUUCGGGUUGUAAACUUCUUUGACGAGGGACGAAUAAAUGACGGUACCUCGAAAACAAGCCACGGCUAACUACGUGCCAGCAGCCGCGGUAAUACGUAGGUGGCAAGCGUUGUCCGGAUUUACUGGGUGUAAAGGGCGCGUAGGCGGGAGCGCAAGUCAGAUGUGAAAUCUGGGGGCUUAACCCUCAAACUGCAUUUGAAACUGUGUUUCUUGAGUGGUGGAGAGGCAGGCGGAAUUCCUAGUGUAGCGGUGAUAUGCGUAGAUAUUAGGAGGAACACCAGUGGCGAAGGCGGCCUGCUGGACAUUAACUGACGCUGAGGCGCGAAAGCGUGGGGAGCAAACAGGAUUAGAUACCCCAGUAGUC
This 441-nucleotide ribosomal RNA is filed under the name uncultured bacterium. Its description in RNAcentral is "partial 16S ribosomal RNA". It matches the Rfam family "Bacterial small subunit ribosomal RNA", at positions 339 to 795 of the family's 1533-position model. The record is from RNAcentral.